RNAcentral lists this ribosomal RNA (253 nucleotides) under uncultured bacterium. RNAcentral's name for it is "partial 16S ribosomal RNA". It matches the Rfam family "Bacterial small subunit ribosomal RNA", at positions 524 to 776 of the family's 1533-position model. The record is from RNAcentral.
UACAGAGGGUGCGAGCGUUAAUCGGAAUUACUGGGCGUAAAGCGCACGUAGGCGGCUUGGUAUGUCGGGUGUGAAAUCCCCGGGCUCAACCUGGGAACUGCAUCCGAAACUGCCUUGCUCGAGUAUGGGAGAGGGAAGUGGAAUUUCCGGUGUAGCGGUGAAAUGCGUAGAGAUCGGGAGGAACAUCAGUUGCGAAGGCGGCUCUCUGGACCAGCACUGACACUGAGGCACGAAAGCGUGGGGAGCAAACAGG